Molecule: long non-coding RNA, 404 nt
Filed under: Citrus maxima (pomelo)
Lineage: Eukaryota; Viridiplantae; Streptophyta; Magnoliopsida; Sapindales; Rutaceae
Description: long non-coding RNA (CMAX_LNC002165)
Source: RNAcentral
UAAUUAUUUGAUCAAUUGUAGAGGGACUAGUUCAAUUUGGGAUGAGAUAAGAGUGCCAAGAACGAACAAACAAACAAAUAAAUAAAAAAAUAAAACAAUAGAAAGAUGACGUAAAGAGGUAAGUUAACAAGAUGAUGAUAAUCAACAAUUAUACACCAUUAAACACAUAAAGAAAAAAGUGUAUUGCCAAAAAAGAGGAUUUACAUUGGUCUGAGCAUCCAUGUUAAGUUGGUAAUACGAAUUGGAAAAAAGUGUAUUGCCAAAAAAGAGGAUUUACAUUGGUCUGAGCAUCCAUGUUAAGUUGGUAAUACGAAUUGGAUCGGCUUGCACUCAGCUACAAGGGUUUUAAUGAGUUUGGAAGACCUUCAAAGAAGGAUUUCUCUGCCUCCAAAACACCCUGCACC